GAUGAAGAACGUAGCGAAAUGCGAUACGUAGUGUGAAUUGCAGAAUUCAGUGAAUCAUCGAAUCUUUGAACGCACAUUGCGCCCGCUGGUAUUCCGGCGGGCAUGCCUGUUCGAGCGUCAUUUCAACCCUCAAGCCCCCGGGUUUGGUGUUGGGGAUCGGCUCUGCCCUUCUGGGCGGUGCCGCCCCCGAAAUACAUUGGCGGUCUCGCUGCAGCCUCCAUUGCGUAGUAGCUAACACCUCGCAACUGGAACGCGGCGCGGCCAUGCCGUAAAACCCCAACUUCUGAAUGUUGACCUCGGAUCAGGUAGGAAUACCCGCUGAACUUAAGCAUAUCAAUAAGCGGAGGA
RNAcentral lists this unclassified non-coding RNA (348 nucleotides) under soil metagenome. RNAcentral's name for it is "partial contains 5.8S ribosomal RNA, internal transcribed spacer 2, and large subunit ribosomal RNA". The stretch from base 1 to 120 matches the Rfam family "5.8S ribosomal RNA", at positions 35 to 154 of the family's 154-position model. The record is from RNAcentral.